Molecule: unclassified non-coding RNA, 336 nt
Filed under: soil metagenome
Description: partial contains 5.8S ribosomal RNA, internal transcribed spacer 2, and large subunit ribosomal RNA
Rfam family: 5.8S ribosomal RNA (bases 1-120)
Source: RNAcentral
GAUGAAGAACGUAGCGAAAUGCGAUACGUAAUGUGAAUUGCAGAAUUCAGUGAAUCAUCGAGUCUUUGAACGCACAUUGCGCCCGCCAGUAUUCUGGCGGGCAUGCCUGUUCGAGCGUCAUUUCAACCAUCAAGCCCCAGGCUUGUGUUGGGGACCUGCGGCUGCCGCAGGCCCUGAAAACCAGUGGCGGGCUCGCUGUCACACCGGGCGUAGUAGAUUUUAUCUCGCUCAGGGCGUGCUGCGGGUUCCGGCCGUUAAAAAGCCUUUUUUACCCAAGGUUGACCUCGGAUCAGGUAGGAAGACCCGCUGAACUUAAGCAUAUCAAUAAGCGGAGGA